This 433-nucleotide ribosomal RNA is filed under the name uncultured bacterium. RNAcentral describes it as "partial 16S ribosomal RNA". It matches the Rfam family "Bacterial small subunit ribosomal RNA", at positions 29 to 507 of the family's 1533-position model. The record is from RNAcentral.
AACGAACGCUGGCGGCAUGCCUAACACAUGCAAGUCGAACGAUACCUUCGGGUCUAGUGGCGCACGGGUGCGUAACGCGUGGGAACCUGCCCUUAGGUUCGGAAUAACUCCCCGAAAGGGGUGCUAAUACCGGAUAAUGUCUUCGGACCAAAGAUUUAUCGCCUUUGGAUGGGCCCGCGUUGGGUUAGCUAGUUGGUAGGGUAAAAGCCUACCAAGGCGACGAUCCAUAGCUGGUCUGAGAGGAUGAUCAGCCACACUGGGACUGAGACACGGACCAGACUCCUACGGGAGGCAGCAGUGGGGAAUAUUGGACAAUGGGCGAAAGCCUGAUCCAGCAAUGCCGCGUGAGUGAUGAAGGCCUUAGGGUUGUAAAGCUCUUUUACCCGGGAUGAUAAUGACAGUACCGGGAGAAUAAGCUCCGGCUAACUCCGUG